Haliotis rufescens (red abalone) is the source of this 583-nucleotide long non-coding RNA. RefSeq lists it as uncharacterized. The record is from RefSeq and is a predicted model, not a curated record. The transcript has 2 exons. NCBI's taxonomy places the organism in Eukaryota, Metazoa, Mollusca, Gastropoda, Lepetellida, Haliotidae.
GAGCAACUGGCUGAAAUCCGCAAGGCAAGUUUGUCCCGAAUAUUCUGCGAUAACACCGACACUGUCAGUAUACAGGAGAAUGCUUUCGUCAAGGGUGAUAAGAUACCCUGCGGCUCCCUGGAGACGGUGGACCUGACCCCCUGGAAGGAGGAACUGGGGGCAUGGACUCCUUGGGCACCAUGGGGAAAUUGUCACAAUCAUGUCCAGACACGAGACCGGGCCUGUUCACCCUGUAACUGUGGUUGUGAUGGUCCAAACAUUGACAGUCGUUACUGCCGUUGUUGAGUCCUGUUACGGAUCUCCUGUACCUAUCCAGGCACACGGCGUGUAUCUAACGGCAUACGGACUUUAUGUCUAAGUAGUCCAGCUUCUAAAUGCCUCUCAAGGAAGACUUUAUGUCUGUAAAACAUGUAUAAUGUAUUUCUCUAACGACAUUCAUGUUGUUUGUUUUAACUCUGACAGCAUACAAACUUUAUUUCUCUAACUACGUUCAGAUUUUAUGUCUCUUCAUACAGAAGCCCUGGUACAAGCAGGCAUCUUAUUGUAUAUCAAAAGUAUUCAAUAAAACAAUGAUACAUGCCUA